Molecule: non-coding RNA, 1944 nt
Organism: Solanum lycopersicum (tomato)
Lineage: Eukaryota; Viridiplantae; Streptophyta; Magnoliopsida; Solanales; Solanaceae
Source: RefSeq, a predicted model, not a curated record
CUUUUCAACUGUAUCUACCAUGUCGUUCUUUGAACUCACCGUGUUUUUUGUAUAGAUAUUUGCGAAGUUAUUGAUUAUCAUCCGCUGAUUGUUUUUUCAAAAUAUUGUGGACCUUGCCCUUUGUUUGCCUGUUUUGACUACUUCAGUUGACAUGGAAAAGACAAAAGUAAAUGAGGCUAAAAUUAUAUCCAGAUGUUCAGUUACUUACAUGGGGAACAGGAAGGCAACUAUGCUGUAAGCAGGCACAGUCUACUACAUCAUGACCAACACUGGUAAAUAGGUUUACUAGAAUGCAAAGGUAGCGAAAAAUUGGUGACUGGACAAUUGGCACUAUUCAAUGGACAUAGGAAGGACUGAAGUUGACUUUGGGGGGAGGGAUUAUUAAUACGUCUUUUCACGAACUACAUUUGGUAGACGUAGUGUUGGUUUAUGUUUAAUUUAUGCUAACCUUAGGUCGCCUAGUUAUGGUACUACUCGUUACAUAAACUGAGUUUACAGAAAGUGGUCAUGCAUCUGGUUAAAUUGGAAUUGUCAAAGUGGGUCUGACAUGUAGAAAGUUAAUUUUGUUACCAUUGUCUACUCACAGUUAUUAUUCUAGUUUCUUUGCUAAUUCGUGGCUGUAUUUUAUGGUUACUCAUCUUUUCAACCCUUUGGUGGUUGAAUAUCUCAGUGACGAGCAAGAGGAAGAUAAUGGAGGAGAAGAUGAACCUUUUCCUAGGAAAAAAAAGUAGGCAAAGAGUUAAGAGGAAUAGAUAUUACGUCAUAUGAGGUUUUGUGAAAAUCUCUGUUUUCAGGAUAUGGUGAUUAUCUAUCAUUCUGCGUAUGACCGUGCUCGAUUUUUUUUUGAGAAUGGUAACAGAUAAUCUUAUCAAAAUAUGUAGUCCCCCUUCAAAAGUAUUACAACUUACACAGCUUGAACAUCUACCUGUUGUUCCUAGAAUAGUCUAAAACGGCUAAAAUAUCUUCUGUUUGAUCUAUUAAUUUCUAUUUACACCAAAAAAAAAAACAGAGCUAAACAAUUCAUUUUGAACUCCUGGAAGUUACUCUGCUUGUCUUCAAAACAUCUCCUAUUCCCUUUUUUCCACACUAUCCACGAAAUGAAUGCAGGGACAAUCUUCCAUCUAAACAGAGCUUGACUUCUGUUCCUUCCUUCUUGCUUUAGCGUUCUUGGAAGUGUAAUGUGUACUGUCUAUUAGUUUUUGUGAUAAACUUGACCACAAAUUAUAUGAAUAAUUUGCACGUCUUAAUAAAAAGUAGUAACAGAAGAACUAACCAUGUGAAGUAUUUUAUUUUGGUGGUGUGCUGCAGUAUUUUAUUUUCAGCAAUUUUCCUGAUAUUAGCUUAAAGUAAAACCUUUUAAGAUGUUCUUCUCCUGCUUGGUUGUUGCAUGCAUUUUUCCUCAAGCUGUUUCGACCUCUUAUCUUUUUUUGGUAUCACCUUUUUUGGGGGAAAAGGUGUAAGAGCUUUAGAUGUUUCUGGCGGAGCCGAUGCAUAGAAGUCAUAUGGACCAUGUGGGAAGUAAGGAACUCUAGAUAUUGAAGGCAAACAACAUUUAAGAUUUCACAGUCCACUCUACUUAUGUUUUCAUUUUAUCUUUUUUACAUCUUUAAACCUAUUUUUAUUUCAUAAGUUGUAUGGUCCAUGGAAGACUUCAAGAAAAUGCCAUUAGGUGAUACGAAUGUUUCGUUAUAUGAUAAUAAAAUACCUUACUUAGAGUAGAAAGGGAGACCGUGUGAUGCUCUCAAAACAUAAUUUACUUUGUAGAAGGAAAAAAAAACCCAUUUCUAUGCUCAUCAAGUGCUUGACCUGCAUAUCUGGUGAAGCUAGAAGUGUGCUGUUUGUUAUUUCGUAUAGUUUUGCCUGGAGUCUAGCUUAUGAGCUCAAAAUGCAAGCUGAAUACUGUGUUGCUAAGAUAACACACACGGAAAACUGUACUAGGGAAAA